RNAcentral lists this unclassified non-coding RNA (557 nucleotides) under Hevea brasiliensis (rubber tree). Lineage: Eukaryota; Viridiplantae; Streptophyta; Magnoliopsida; Malpighiales; Euphorbiaceae. The record is from RNAcentral.
CUAGCAGAUUGAGCAAGCCAAUUAGCACAUUCAUUCAUACAUACAAAUAAAAUUAUCUUAAAUAUUAGUUAACUAGUAUCAGCAAAACAAAGUUAAUAAAGUUUUCAGUGCAACAACUAAUCAAAGUUAAUGACUUUUGUGACUUGAAUCAGGCUCGGAGAAAUGUCUUUAGGAAUUACAAAAAAAAGUGGACAUUAUUUCUUCACUCCCAGAACCUCUAUAACCUGUAGUUAGUCUUGCACCACUACUAGAGCUGCUGCUAGAGCUUCCACCAGCAUCAAUAUUCCCCACAGCACGCCCUCCACUGCUCCUAGGAACAUCCAUAACUCUAAAACUACCAACAUCUUCAAGACCAAUGCCUUCACUUCUUCCUGUACCAUCAAUAUCAGUAUCCCCUCCUGUAUCACCAAUAUUAGCAUCUACUGUUCCUUGGAUUGAUUCCUCACGUGUCAUAUAAAAAAACUGAAAAUAGUUUUUCAGUAUAAAAAUGAAGCCACCACAGCAGCAUGCUAUUAUGCCACUUUUGCCACCUCGAGCAAUGCCUAUACUCAAAUAUU